Molecule: long non-coding RNA, 319 nt
Filed under: Citrus x clementina
Lineage: Eukaryota; Viridiplantae; Streptophyta; Magnoliopsida; Sapindales; Rutaceae
Description: Citrus clementina (C. clementina) long non-coding RNA (CCLE_LNC006543)
Source: RNAcentral
CUGGACAGGCGCACCGGUUCAGGUGAGUGUUCUAUUCUAAUUUAACCAAAUGGCCCAUCAUUUUGAUUUUUUAAUUUUUUAAUUUUUUAAUUUUUGAACUUCCCCUCAUUUGGAUUUUGAUUGGUGUAACAAAGAUACUUUCCCAUGCCAAAGCUCAAUACACCGAAUUAUGCACCUGAGUUCGCUUUCAAGUUGCCACGUGGUGAUAUCACCUGUCUUGGAUUAGUUGGAUUGUCUGCACUAAGUAGUUCUGUUCUUGAGAAUUCAGUCAGAUUUUUUGUGUUCCCCUUUCACCUAUAAUUCCCCAAGAUAAUCUCNN